AGAGUUUGAUCAUGGCUCAGGACGAACGCUGGCGGCGUGCCUAAUGCAUGCAAGUCGCACGCACGUCUUUUCGGAGACGUGAGUGGCGCACGGCUGAGGACCACGUGGGAACAUGCCGUCGAGUGGGGGACAACAGCGCGAAAGCGGUGCUAAUCCCGCAUACGCUCGCAAGAGGAAAGCAGCAAUGCGCUCGACGAGUGGCCCGCGGCCCAUCAGGUCGUCGGUGGGGUAACGGCCUACCGAGCCAAUGACGGGUAGCUGGUCUGUGAGGACAGACAGCCAGACUGGGACUGAGACACGGCCCAGACUCCUACGGGAGGCAGCAGCAAGGAAUUUUCGUCAAUGGGCGCAAGCCUGAACGAGCAACGCCGCGUGGAGGAUGACGGCCUUCGGGUUGUAAACUCCUUUUUCGGGGGACGAUGAUGACGGUACCCCGGGAAUAAGGCUCGGCUAACUCUGUGCCAGCCGCCGCGGUAAUAC
This 480-nucleotide ribosomal RNA is filed under the name uncultured bacterium. Its description in RNAcentral is "bacterial SSU rRNA". It matches the Rfam family "Bacterial small subunit ribosomal RNA", at positions 8 to 526 of the family's 1533-position model. The record is from RNAcentral.